UGGGGAAUUUUGGACAAUGGGCGAAAGCCUGAUCCAGCAAUGCCGCGUGUGUGAAGAAGGCCUUCGGGUUGUAAAGCACUUUUGUCCGGAAAGAAAUCCUUGGCUCUAAUACAGUCGGGGGAUGACGGUACCGGAAGAAUAAGCACCGGCUAACUACGUGCCAGCAGCCGCGGUAAUACGUAGGGUGCAAGCGUUAAUCGGAAUUACUGGGCGUAAAGCGUGCGCAGGCGGUUUGCUAAGACCGAUGUGAAAUCCCCGGGCUCAACCUGGGAACUGCAUUGGUGACUGGCAGGCUAGAGUAUGGCAGAGGGGGGUAGAAUUCCACGUGUAGCAGUGAAAUGCGUAGAGAUGUGGAGGAAUACCGAUGGCGAAGGCAGCCCCCUGGGCCAAUACUGACGCUCAUGCACGAAAGCGUGGGGAGCAAACAGGAUUAGAUACCCUGGUAGUCCACGCCCUAAACGAUGUCAACUAGUUGUUGGGGAUUCAUUUCCUUAGUAACGUAGCUAACGCGUGAAGUUGACCGCCUGGGGAGUACGGUCGCAAGAUUAAAACUAAUGAAUUGACGGGGUCAUAGCUGUUUCCU
RNAcentral lists this ribosomal RNA (583 nucleotides) under uncultured bacterium. Its description in RNAcentral is "partial 16S ribosomal RNA". It matches the Rfam family "Bacterial small subunit ribosomal RNA", at positions 355 to 1375 of the family's 1533-position model. The record is from RNAcentral.